CAGAAAUGAUGAAGGCAUUGAAGACCAGAAUCUGAAAGGAAUUUGAGAUUUUCCAAAUGAAACCAGUGGGACUCUGUGCUUUUCCUGGGGCUUGUGGUUGAUUUCUUCAUUCUGGAGUGCGAAGACCCUCAAAUUCCUAUCCUCUGCUCCAGCUGUGGGCUGCUGGGUCUUAAGUAUGUACUUAAAUGCCUGAAUUAGGACUCUGGAAGACUGAGCAGCAAAAAGAAAAGCAAAUAUUUGAUUUGAUUGAUUUUAAUUCACCUUUGGGAAUGAAGAUUCGGACCAGUUUGGACCCCAUGAAUACAAAAACAGGUGCAGCAAAGGAGUGUGUGGCCAGUGGAAAAUUAUUCCCAUCUUUUUCUGUCUGUGAGAAGGCUACUUAA
RNAcentral lists this long non-coding RNA (383 nucleotides) under Struthio camelus australis. Its description in RNAcentral is "lncRNA (ENSSCUG00000009023.1)". Lineage: Eukaryota; Metazoa; Chordata; Aves; Struthioniformes; Struthionidae. The record is from RNAcentral.